GAAUAAUUGCAGGCUGCAUUUCCUUGGCAUGUUUCGGAGAGAUGGGUGAGAAUUUUGAAAGUGAAGCCUUCUAUUUGAACUUUGUGAGCAAAGAUAUAUCAUGAUCACUUCCUUUUCAAGACUGUGGAAUAUGUCAUGACAGAGAAACCCAAAGGGAGCCUUGAAUGCACCUACCCAUUGGGCACAGCAAGAAAGACUAUCAUCAUGGGAUGAAGGCCUCAACACCUCCCACAAAGUAUGAAUGUUAAACUCAUCUUGAAGAAAUCAAUACACAAUAGUGUUAAAUAUGAACAAGUCGUGAAGUGUAGGGUCGAGACGAUGGAGGAUCAGAAACCACAAACUUGGCUGAGAAAAUGGAGCUGGGGAAAGUUCUCAGGCAAAUUAUCUAAGGAAGAAUCGAUCACCGUUCCUGUUUGCCUGACUAGUAUAACGUCAACUCUCAAGGCAUGUCAGAUCAAGAGGGAGAACCAUAGUAGAACGAAGAAAGAGGAUCCGUGUGCUUGCGCUGAGAGCCAUGUGGAACCGAUUCCUGGAAAUCAAGCACUGGUGUGGUUCAGCAACCCUGCUCCUGGCUCAUUUUCCUGCAUGGGUCGAGGUCAUUGA
This 603-nucleotide long non-coding RNA is filed under the name Rattus norvegicus (Norway rat). RNAcentral's name for it is "long non-coding RNA NONRATT031539". The record is from RNAcentral. Lineage: Eukaryota; Metazoa; Chordata; Mammalia; Rodentia; Muridae.